UUUUCAGUAAAGGUUGGAGGAAAGUCACCAUUUUCUUCCUCUCUCCAUCCGCAUUUGUGGUAACAAGUGGCUGCUUCCCUGAAGAGACUGGGCCACUGAAGUCAGCAUUUUACGUGGAUCAACACUCAAAGCAUCUGCAUGAGGGUCAGAAUGAAGGAUGCCCACUGGAGCUGGGAAUUGUUGAUCAGGUGGAUCAACACUCCAACCACCUGCAUCUGGAUCUGCUUUAGAGACACCCACUGGAGCUGAAAAAGAUGAAGCAGGUGGAUCAGCAUGUAAACCAUUUGCAUAAGGAUCUGCAUGAAGGAUGCUCACAAGAGCUGGGAAUGCUGGAUCAAUUGCCGGGCAACAUUACUGGUGAACACCUUGGAGCAAAUUCUCCAUACUGUCUUCUUCAUAUUUGGCCCACCGCUGAUUGAUAGUCUGUUCACAUUCAACAGGUUUUGUUCUAGCCUGUCUAGGUCUGCAAUGGAUGCUAAAGGAAAGACACCACCUUCCUCUUCUACAUCCAUUUGCAUUUGGGGUACAACGCGCCUGUUUCCCAAUAGAGACUGGACCAGUGAAG
Misgurnus anguillicaudatus (oriental weatherfish) is the source of this 565-nucleotide long non-coding RNA. RefSeq lists it as uncharacterized. The record is from RefSeq and is a predicted model, not a curated record. Lineage: Eukaryota; Metazoa; Chordata; Actinopteri; Cypriniformes; Cobitidae.